UUGCCAGCGGGUAAUGCCGGGAACUCUGUUCAGACUGCCCAGAUCAACUGGGAGGAAGGUGGGGACGACGUCAGGUCAGUAUGGCCCUUACGCCUUGGGCUGCACACGUACUACAAUGCCCGGCACAAUGAGAACCGAAACCGCGAGGUUGAGGAAAUCUGGAAAACCGGGCCCAGUUCGGAUUGGAGGCUGCAACCCGCCUCCAUGAAGUUGGAAUCCGUAGUAAUCGCGUUUCAACAGAACGCGGUGAAUACGUCCCUGCUCCUU
RNAcentral lists this ribosomal RNA (267 nucleotides) under uncultured Verrucomicrobiaceae bacterium. Its description in RNAcentral is "partial 16S ribosomal RNA". It matches the Rfam family "Bacterial small subunit ribosomal RNA", at positions 1115 to 1382 of the family's 1533-position model. The record is from RNAcentral. Lineage: Bacteria; Pseudomonadati; Verrucomicrobiota; Verrucomicrobiia; Verrucomicrobiales; Verrucomicrobiaceae.